Long non-coding RNA from Oncorhynchus kisutch (coho salmon), 1347 nucleotides. RefSeq lists it as uncharacterized. The record is from RefSeq and is a predicted model, not a curated record. NCBI's taxonomy places the organism in Eukaryota, Metazoa, Chordata, Actinopteri, Salmoniformes, Salmonidae. The transcript has 3 exons.
GAGCUGUAAUGAGGUGACCAAUAAUGGGUGCAAUUAAGAUCAGCUGUGCAGGUUAAUUUAGCAUGUGGUUUAACAAGACCAGCUGGCAAUAAUAAGGUUGCUACCUUUUGAGGCAGAAUUUCCAGGCAAGACUUCAAAAUUGGCAUGUCCCAAUCCCAUGUAUCCAUCGCCGGGAGGCUAUUCCAUAACACCUUGCAGCGCAGCAAAAAAUAAUUGACGACGGACAGAAGUCCCCACUUGGGAGAACAUUUUCCAGAAAUCCACAAAAUAGACUAAAGUGGCACCUGAUCACGUUUCACUCCAUUGUAUUGGCUUGGCAGGAGAAAAACAGUCCUGCACGACUCGUUUAGAAGUUGAAUGAUAUUCCACCCUGCAGAUGUAAGGAACUUGUUGUGAACCUCCCAGCCAACAGGAUAAUCAACAUAUCCCAGGAUAUUAUUUAGGAGUGUGCCAACCUCACAAUGUUAGAAAUAGAUUCACCCAUGAUAUUAUUUAUCAUGCAGAUUUGUCAGGACAUUGUAAUUCAUAAAGCUCAUUCUGAAAUACGAUAUCUGUCCCAGGGGAUUCAAUUUAGACCCCAAUUAGGUGUUAGUGAAGGGCUGAAAAAAACAACUGUAAACUCCUGUCUCAAAUAAGACAUGAAGGUCAGUCAAUCAGGAAAAUCAUGGAGUGAGUAGGUGUGUCCAACAUUUUACCGUGUGUGUAUAUAUAUAUAUAUAUAUAUAUAUAUGAUAUGCAUUUACUGCAUGUAAUUAUAUUGGACAUGUUAUCCUUCAUCACAUGCACGUAUAUAUUUUGUAUCCAUUGCAUUUAGCUUACAUUAGGAAGACGUAGCCUAGGCAGUCUAAUCUAGUUACAGUAGAUUGCAUCGUAUCACCUUUCAAUAUUAUUAACGAAUAUAAAACCAUGUUAACUUGAACAUAUAAUUUAAUCAUAUGCACGGGUGUCAUAUUUGUAUGACUGUAUCACAAUGCAAGCCUACUCACUCAAAAAAUACAGCAGCUCUAAUGCAAUAUUAGCUUAGAAACACCACUAUUCUUAAACAGUCAGUAAAAUAGCUGAUUUAGCUGUAAAUGAAAAUCGUAACCUGUAUGUUAUCAUGCAUGCAAACUUGUCAUGUCUACAACAAUGGAGCAGCAAACCAAGCAACAUGCGAGAGGAGGACCCCAUACCAUAGGAUAAUUAUUCUGGUCAGUGUUAACUUCAUUCCUAAUUCAGGUACUGAGGAGCUCGAUUCCGUUACUUGUUCACCUGUUAUUCGUGUCAGAUGUUUCCAUUUUGAGAUAUCCUUGCUGCACAAUUUUCCUACUGCAAUGAAAUGGGUGAUAUUAAAAUCUGACAUCUGUA